Molecule: ribosomal RNA, 429 nt
Filed under: Fusobacteriota bacterium
Lineage: Bacteria; Fusobacteriati; Fusobacteriota
Description: Fusobacteria bacterium partial 16S ribosomal RNA
Rfam family: Bacterial small subunit ribosomal RNA
Source: RNAcentral
UGGGGAAUCUUCCGCAAUGGACGAAAGUCUGACGGAGCAACGCCGCGUGAGUGAAGACGGCCUUCGGGUUGUAAAGCUCUGUGAUCCGGGACGAAAGAGCCUGAGGUAAAUAGCCUAAGGAAGUGACGGUACCGGAAAAGCAAGCCACGGCUAACUACGUGCCAGCAGCCGCGGUAAUACGUAGGUGGCAAGCGUUGUCCGGAAUUAUUGGGCGUAAAGCGCGCGCAGGCGGCUUCCUAAGUCCAUCUUAAAAGUGCGGGGCUUAACCCCGUGAUGGGAUGGAAACUGGGAAGCUGGAGUAUCGGAGAGGAAAGUGGAGUUCCUAGUGUAGCGGUGAAAUGCGUAGAGAUUAGGAAGAACACCGGUGGCGAAGGCGACUUUCUGGACGAAAACUGACGCUGAGGCGCGAAAGCGUGGGGAGCAAACAGG